GCACAUGGGUUAGUCGAUC
Molecule: small RNA, 19 nt
Filed under: Arabidopsis thaliana (thale cress)
Lineage: Eukaryota; Viridiplantae; Streptophyta; Magnoliopsida; Brassicales; Brassicaceae
Description: Ath_wt_15592
Source: RNAcentral